CCCUAAACCUACACAUGCAAGUCUCAGCACCCCCGUGAGGACGCCCUUUUAUCUAACCCAGAAUUAGGAGCCGACAUCAGGCACUAAAUCCGCCCAUAACGUCUAGUCCCACCACACCCCCAAGGGUUUUCAGCAGUGAUUAAUAUUGUUUAUAAGUGUUAGCUUGAACCAGUUAUAGGAAAGAGAGCUGGCCAACUCGGUGCCAGCCGCCGCGGCUAAACCGCAUGAGCUCAAGUUGAUAUCUUUCGGCGUUAAGCGUGAUUAAAGACCCCCCCCCCCCACUAAUUAGAACAAAACCUAAACUUAGCUGUGACAAGCUUGCUGUUGAGAAAAACGAAUACGAAAGUUGUUCUAAUAAACUUGAAUACACGACAGUCGGGAAACAAACUGGGAUUAGAUACCCCACUAUGCCCCACCGUAAAAUAUUUACCUACAUUACCAACGCCUGGGUAUUACGAGCUUUAGCUUAAAACCCAAAGGACUUGACGGUGUCCCAUCCAACUAGAGGAGCCUGUUCUAUAAUCGAUAAUCCCCGAUUUACCCAACCCCCCCUUGCCAAUCAGCCUGUAUACCUCCGUCGCAAACUUACCAUAUGAAUGCCAACAGUAAGUUCAAUGAUUUUACACCAACACGUCAGGUCAAGGUGCAGCUCAUGAUGGGGAAAGCAAUGGGCUACAAUUUCUAAAAUAGAACACACGGAAUGCUGCAUGAAACACAGCAUGAAGGCGGAUUUAGUAGUAAAAAGUAAAUAAAGUGUCCUUCUUAAUAAGGCCCUGGGACGCGUACACACCGCCCGUCACCCUCUUCAACAGCACACAAUAUGUUUCUAACAAACUCUGCACUUUAGAAGAGGCAAGUCGUAACAUGGUAAGUGUACCGGAAGGUGCACUUGGAUUAC
This 898-nucleotide non-coding RNA is filed under the name Limnonectes megastomias. RNAcentral describes it as "partial 12S rRNA". It matches the Rfam family "Bacterial small subunit ribosomal RNA". The record is from RNAcentral. Lineage: Eukaryota; Metazoa; Chordata; Amphibia; Anura; Dicroglossidae.